Molecule: ribosomal RNA, 430 nt
Filed under: uncultured bacterium
Lineage: Bacteria
Description: bacterial SSU rRNA
Rfam family: Bacterial small subunit ribosomal RNA
Source: RNAcentral
UGGGGAAUCUUCCACAAUGGGCGAAAGCCUGAUGGAGCGACGCCGCGUGAGAGAGGAAGGUUUUCGGAUCGUAAAGCUCUGUCGAGUGGGAAGAAAUGUAUCAUGGCUAAUAUCCAUGAUACUUGACGGUACCGCUAAAGGAAGCACCGGCUAACUCCGUGCCAGCAGCCGCGGUAAUACGGGGGGUGCAAGCGUUGUUCGGAAUUAUUGGGCGUAAAGAGCGUGUAGGCGGCUGAAUAAGUCAGAUGUGAAAUCCCUGGGCUUAACCCAGGAAGUGCAUUUGAAACUGUUCAGCUUGAGUAGGGGAGAGGAAAGUGGAAUUCCUGGUGUAGAGGUGAAAUUCGUAGAUAUCAGGAGGAACACCGGUGGCGAAGGCGACUUUCUGGCCCUAUACUGACGCUGAGACGCGAGAGCGUGGGUAGCAGACAGG